GACGAACGCUGGCGGUGUGCUUCACACAUGCAAGUCGAACGGGGUAGCAAUACCCAGUGGCGGACGGGUGAGUAACACGUGGGAAUCUGCCUUUAGAUGGGGGAUAGCAGGCCGAAAGGCCUAUUAAUCCCGCAUAUGCCGCAAGGUAAAAGGUUUACUGUCUGAAGAUGAGCCCGCGUCCGAUUAGCUAGUUGGUGGGGUAAUAGCCUACCAAGGCAACGAUCGGUAGCUGGUCUGAGAGGAUGAUCAGCCACAAUGGGACUGAGACACGGCCCAUACUCCUACGGGAGGCAGCAGUGGGGAAUUUUGUGCAAUGGGGGAAACCCUGACACAGCGACACCGCGUGAGCGAAGAAGCCCUUUGGGGUGUAAAGCUCUGUCGGCAGGAACGAAAAAAAUGACSGUACCUGUUGAGGAAGCAUCGGCUAAMUACGUGCCAGCAGCCGCGGUAAGACGUAGGAUGCAAGCGUUGUCCSGRWUUAUUGGGCGUAAAGAGUUCGUAGGUGGKUUGCUAAGUCUGGUGUWAAAAACUGGGGCUCAACCCUGGGAGUGCAUUGGAUACUGGCGGACUGGAGUGCAGUAGAGSMAAGCGGAAUYCCCAGUGUAGCGGUGAAAUGCGUAGAUAUKGGGAARRACACCGGUGGCGCAAGCGGCUUGCUAGGCUGUUACUGACACUGAGGAACGAAAGCUAGGGGAGCGAAUGGGAUUAGAUACCCCGGUAGUCCUAGCUGUAAACGAUGGAUACUAGGCGUAUCGGGUAUCGACCCCUGAUGUGCCGUAGCAAACGCGAUAAGUAUCCCGCCUGAGUAGUACGGSCGCAAGGKUGAAACUCAAAGGAAUUGACGGGGGCCCCGCACAAGCGGUGGAACAUGUUGGKUCAAUUCRAAGCAACGCGAAGAACCUUACCAAGGCUUGACAUGCCUGGAACCCUGCCGAAAGACAGGGGUGCCCGCAAGGGAGCCAGGACACAGGUGGUGCAUGGCUGUCGUCAGCUCGUGUCGUGAGAUGUUGGGUUAAGUCCCGCAACGAGCGCAACCCCCGUUGUUAGUUGCCAUCAGGUCAUGCUGGGCACUCUAGCGAGACUGCCGGUGACAAGCCGGAGGAAGGUGGGGACGACGUCAAGUCAUCAUGCCCCUUAUGCCUUGGGCCACACACGUGUUACAAUGGCUGGGACAGUGUGAGGCAAGCCCGCAAGGGGGAGCGAAUCGCCAAACCCAGUCUCAGUUCAGAUCGUAGGCUGUAACUCGCCUGCG
This 1252-nucleotide ribosomal RNA is filed under the name uncultured bacterium. RNAcentral describes it as "bacterial SSU rRNA". It matches the Rfam family "Bacterial small subunit ribosomal RNA", at positions 28 to 1320 of the family's 1533-position model. The record is from RNAcentral.